UGAACGCUGGCGGCAUAGCCUAACACAUGCAAGUCGAACGCGAAAGCUCUUCGGAGUGAGUAGAGUGGCGGACGGGUGAGUAACGCGUGGGAAUCUGCCCUGUAGUAGGGGACAACCCGGGGAAACUCGGGCUAAUACCGCAUACGUCCUACGGGAGAAAGGGGGCCUUCGGGCUCUCGCUGCAGGAUGAGCCCGCGUCCGAUUAGCUAGUUGGUAGGGUAAUGGCCUACCAAGGCGACGAUCGGUAGCUGGUCUGAGAGGAUGAUCAGCCACACUGGGACUGAGACACGGCCCAGACUCCUACGGGAGGCAGCAGUGGGGAAUAUUKGACAAUGGGCGCAAGCUUGAUCCAGCAAUKCCGCGUGUGUGAAGAAGGCCUGCGGGUUGUAAAGCACUUUCAGUGGGGAAGAAAAGCCUGGGGKUAAUACCCCCGGGUCUUKACGUUACCCACAGAAGAAGCACCGGCUAACUCCGUGCCAGCAGCCGCGGUAAUACKGAGGGUGCAAGCGUUAAUCGGAAUCACUGGGCGUAAAGCGCACGUAGGCGGCGAAGUCAGUCAUAUGUGAAAGCCCUGGGCUCAACCUGGGRACUGCAUUUGAUACUGC
Molecule: ribosomal RNA, 605 nt
Filed under: uncultured Pseudomonadota bacterium
Lineage: Bacteria; Pseudomonadati; Pseudomonadota
Description: bacterial SSU rRNA
Rfam family: Bacterial small subunit ribosomal RNA
Source: RNAcentral